CGGGUGAGUAAUGCCUAGGAAUCUGCCUGGUAGUGGGGGACAACGUUUCGAAAGGAACGCUAAUACCGCAUACGUCCUACGGGAGAAAGCAGGGGACCUUCGGGCCUUGCGCUAUCAGAUGAGCCUAGGUCGGACUAGCUAGUUGGUGAGGUAAUGGCUCACCAAGGCGACGAUCCGUAACUGGUCUGAGAGGAUGAUCAGUCACACUGGAACUGAGACACGGUCCAGACUCCUACGGGAGGCAGCAGCU
RNAcentral lists this ribosomal RNA (250 nucleotides) under uncultured Pseudomonas sp. RNAcentral describes it as "partial 16S ribosomal RNA". It matches the Rfam family "Bacterial small subunit ribosomal RNA", at positions 103 to 355 of the family's 1533-position model. Lineage: Bacteria; Pseudomonadati; Pseudomonadota; Gammaproteobacteria; Pseudomonadales; Pseudomonadaceae. The record is from RNAcentral.